This 1160-nucleotide long non-coding RNA is filed under the name Gossypium barbadense (sea-island cotton). RNAcentral's name for it is "long non-coding RNA (GBAR_LNC008521)". The record is from RNAcentral. Lineage: Eukaryota; Viridiplantae; Streptophyta; Magnoliopsida; Malvales; Malvaceae.
AAACUCGUUUAGCUGAAUGCGCUUUCACACAUUCUCUCAAAAGACGGCCUAAUUUUUAAAUAAAAAAAAAAUUGCUCAUUUGGCUGGUUAAUUUCCUUUUGACAUAUUCAACUAAUUUAACCAUGAAAUAAAACUCAUUUUGUAAAAAUAAAUAAAAAUCCAAAACUCAAAAUUAAAAUGAAAAAGAAAGACUCAACUAGAUAAAAAUGAUCAUAAAAAAUUAAAAAAAAAAUCCAAAAUAUUCAACCAACCAAAUCUUACUUGUGCAUAAAAAAUUAGUAUAUCAUCAGCGGGUCUAUUUAUAUUUGGAAACUAGAUACGCUAAUGCUUUCAUCUACUCUACAAAACAAACACACUAAACCAUGAUAAAAACUAAUUCAUCUUCAAACAAUACAACAUAUUACUAUUUAACAAAUAAAAGAAGUCAUUUAAACUUUAAUUAUGAAGAUUUAUUAAUAUAAACUGUAGGCCCCAAUUUUAGCCCGGGGCCCAACAACUAAAAAUCCAAAUAAUAAACAGUCUCCUAUUAAAGUCUAGUUUACAAACCCAAAAGUAUUACAGGCCCAAUUCGUAAAACAAAAACUUAGACCUAAAGAAGAUACAAAGGCCCGAUUGACCCAAAGCUUUGAGGUUUUCGAAAACCCUAGGUUUCCCUUUGCGCCGCAGCACUAGCACCUCCACGCACGACCUCUGUGCGCCCCGCUCCACGUCGCCCUCCACCACGUCCUCAUGGCACCUGUAACUUGAGUGAAAAAUAGCAACAGAAAUGGCUAUAAAAGCCCUCAAAUUUCCAUUUUGUUUGGACUUUUUUUUUGUACGAACAUAUACACAAAGAAAUCAAAAUACAAGGUGACCCUUUUAUUAUUUUCGAGUGUUUUUUAUUUUUAUUUUUAUUUUUUUGAGACGUUUUACUACUAUUGUUUUAUUUUUAUUUACAUAUAUUUCAUAAAAAAAAGAAACAAAAAAUAGGGGAAUUUUACGAUGGCACCGGCAACGGUGGCCGGCGGCCGGCGGCGAGCGGCGGUGAUCGGCACUAGGGCCUGGCCGGGCUUCAGGCCUGCAGAGAAAAGGGGAGAGGGGCUUUUGUUUUUUUUGAAGGAAGAAGGAAAAAAAUGAAGUUUUCAAAAAAACAUUGGUAUUUAUAGGCCUCUCAAUCCGCG